AACGAACGCUGGCGGCAUGCCUAACACAUGCAAGUCGAACGAGACCUUCGGGUCUAGUGGCGCACGGGUGCGUAACGCGUGGGAACCUUCCCUUAGGUUCGGAAUAACUCCCCGAAAGGGGUGCUAAUACCGGAUAAUGUCUUCGGACCAAAGAUUUAUCGCCUUUGGAUGGGCCCGCGUUGGAUUAGCUAGUUGGUAGGGUAAAAGCCUGCCAAGGCGACGAUCCAUAGCUGGUCUGAGAGGAUGAUCAGCCACACUGGGACUGAGACACGGCCCAGACUCCUACGGGAUGCAGCAGUGGGGAAUAUUGGACAGUGAGCAAAAGCCUGAUCAAGCAAUGCCGCGUGAGAGAUGAAGGCCUUAGGGUUGUAAAGCUCUAUUACCCGAGAAGAUAAUGACAGUACCGGAAGGAUAAGCUCCGGCUGACUCCGUG
This 433-nucleotide ribosomal RNA is filed under the name uncultured bacterium. RNAcentral's name for it is "partial 16S ribosomal RNA". It matches the Rfam family "Bacterial small subunit ribosomal RNA", at positions 29 to 507 of the family's 1533-position model. The record is from RNAcentral.